UACGUAGGGGGCCAGCGUUGUCCGAAGUUACUGGGCGUAAAGAGCUCGUAGGUGGUUUGUCGCGUUGUUCGUGAAAACUCACAGCUUAACUGUGGGCGUGCGGGCGAUACGGGCAGACUUGAGUACUGCAGGGGAGACUGGAAUUCCUGGUGUAGCGGUGGAAUGCGCAGAUAUCAGGAGGAACACCGGUGGCGAAGGCGGGUCUCUGGGCAGUAACUGACGCUGAGGAGCGAAAGCGUGGGGAGCGAACAGG
RNAcentral lists this ribosomal RNA (253 nucleotides) under uncultured bacterium. RNAcentral's name for it is "partial 16S ribosomal RNA". It matches the Rfam family "Bacterial small subunit ribosomal RNA", at positions 524 to 776 of the family's 1533-position model. The record is from RNAcentral.